AUUGAACGCUGGCGGCAGGCCUAACACAUGCAAGUCGAGCGGAUGAAGGGAGCUUGCUCCUGGAUUCAGCGGCGGACGGGUGAGUAAUGCCUAGGAAUCUGCCUGGUAGUGGGGGAUAACGUCCGGAAACGGGCGCUAAUACCGCAUACGUCCUGAGGGAGAAAGUGGGGGAUCUUCGGACCUCACGCUAUCAGAUGAGCCUAGGUCGGAUUAGCUAGUUGGUGGGGUAAAGGCCUACCAAGGCGACGAUCCGUAACUGGUCUGAGAGGAUGAUCAGUCACACGGGAACUGAGACGCGGUCCAGACUCGUACGGGAGGCAGCAGUGGGGAAUAGUGGACAAUGGGCGAAAGCCUGAUCCAGCCAUGCCGCGUGUGUGAAGAAGGUCUUCGGAUUGUAAAGCACUUUAAGGUGGGAGGAAGGGCAGUAAGUUAAUACCUUGCUGUUUUGACGUUACCAACAGAAUAAGCACCGGCUAACUUCGUG
RNAcentral lists this ribosomal RNA (484 nucleotides) under uncultured bacterium. Its description in RNAcentral is "partial 16S ribosomal RNA". It matches the Rfam family "Bacterial small subunit ribosomal RNA", at positions 30 to 507 of the family's 1533-position model. The record is from RNAcentral.